RNAcentral lists this ribosomal RNA (598 nucleotides) under Colletotrichum gloeosporioides. Its description in RNAcentral is "eukaryotic LSU rRNA". The stretch from base 227 to 380 matches the Rfam family "5.8S ribosomal RNA". The record is from RNAcentral. Lineage: Eukaryota; Fungi; Ascomycota; Sordariomycetes; Glomerellales; Glomerellaceae.
GGAAGUAAAAGUCGUAACAAGGUCUCCGUUGGUGAACCAGCGGAGGGAUCAUUACUGAGUUUACGCUCUACAACCCUUUGUGAACAUACCUAUAACUGUUGCUUCGGCGGGUAGGGUCUCCGCGACCCUCCCGGCCUCCCGCCCCCGGGCGGGUCGGCGCCCGCCGGAGGAUAACCAAACUCUGAUUUAACGACGUUUCUUCUGAGUGGUACAAGCAAAUAAUCAAAACUUUUAACAACGGAUCUCUUGGUUCUGGCAUCGAUGAAGAACGCAGCGAAAUGCGAUAAGUAAUGUGAAUUGCAGAAUUCAGUGAAUCAUCGAAUCUUUGAACGCACAUUGCGCCCGCCAGCAUUCUGGCGGGCAUGCCUGUUCGAGCGUCAUUUCAACCCUCAAGCUCUGCUUGGUGUUGGGGCCCUACAGCUGAUGUAGGCCCUCAAAGGUAGUGGCGGACCCUCUCGGAGCCUCCUUUGCGUAGUAACUUUACGUCUCGCACUGGGAUCCGGAGGGACUCUUGCCGUAAAACCCCCAAUUUUCCAAAGGUUGACCUCGGAUCAGGUAGGAAUACCCGCUGAACUUAAGCAUAUCAAUAAGCGGAGGA